This 73-nucleotide transfer RNA is filed under the name Ictidomys tridecemlineatus (thirteen-lined ground squirrel). Its description in RNAcentral is "Spermophilus tridecemlineatus (thirteen-lined ground squirrel) tRNA". It matches the Rfam family "tRNA". From Rfam's summary of the family: Transfer RNA (tRNA) molecules are approximately 80 nucleotides in length. Their secondary structure includes four short double-helical elements and three loops (D, anti-codon, and T loops). Lineage: Eukaryota; Metazoa; Chordata; Mammalia; Rodentia; Sciuridae. The record is from Rfam by way of RNAcentral.
UGAGGUAUAGCUCAGUUGGUAGAGUGCUUGUCUCACAAGCACAAAUCCCUAGGUUCAGUCCCCAGCACCACAA